GAUGAACGCUGGCGGCGUGCUUAACACAUGCAAGUCGAACGAAGCACUUUAUUUGAUUUCCUUCGGGACUGAUUAUUUUGUGACUGAGUGGCGGACGGGUGAGUAACGCGUGGGUAACCUGCCUUGUACAGGGGGAUAACAGUUGGAAACGGCUGCUAAUACCGCAUAAGCGCACGGCAUCGCAUGAUGCAGUGUGAAAAACUCCGGUGGUAUAAGAUGGACCCGCGUUGGAUUAGCUAGUUGGUGAGGUAACGGCCCACCAAGGCGACGAUCCAUAGCCGACCUGAGAGGGUGACCGGCCACAUUGGGACUGAGACACGGCCCAAACUCCUACGGGAGGCAGCAGUGGGGAAUAUUGCACAAUGGGCGAAAGCCUGGUGCAGCGACGCCGCGUGAGCGAAGAAGUAUUUCGGUAUGUAAAGCUCUAUCAGCAGGGAAGAUAAUGACGGUACCUGACGAAGAAGCACCGGCUAAAUACGUG
RNAcentral lists this ribosomal RNA (481 nucleotides) under uncultured bacterium. RNAcentral's name for it is "partial 16S ribosomal RNA". It matches the Rfam family "Bacterial small subunit ribosomal RNA", at positions 28 to 507 of the family's 1533-position model. The record is from RNAcentral.